UAAGAGGAAGCCAAACAUAGCGGCACCUAACUGUUAAUUAGCUCAUUGUCCCCCCACCGACCCUCUUAA
RNAcentral lists this transfer RNA (69 nucleotides) under Panthalis oerstedi. RNAcentral's name for it is "tRNA-Asn". The record is from RNAcentral. Lineage: Eukaryota; Metazoa; Annelida; Polychaeta; Phyllodocida; Acoetidae.